UGGGGAAUUUUGGACAAUGGGGGCAACCCUGAUCCAGCGACGCCGCGUGGAGGAUGAAGGUCUUCGGAUUGUAAACUCCUUUUGGAGGGGAUGAAUGGCUUGGUGAAUAGCCAAGUGUGACAGUACUCUCUGAAUAAGCCACGGCUAACUACGUGCCAGCAGCCGCGGUAAUACGUAGGUGGCAAGCGUUACUCGGAAUCACUAGGCGUAAAGCGCAGGUAGGCGGUUUGGAAAGUCUGUUGUGAAAGCUCCCGGCUUAACUGGGAGAGGUCAACGGAAACUACCAGGCUGGAGUGUGGUAGAGGAAGAUGGAAUUCCCGGUGUAGCGGUGAAAUGCGUAGAUAUCGGGAGGAAUACCUAUGGCGAAAGCAGUCUUCUGGACCAUCACUGACGCUGAUCUGCGAAAGCUAGGGGAGCAAACAGGAUUAGAUACCCCCGUAGUCC
This 444-nucleotide ribosomal RNA is filed under the name uncultured bacterium. RNAcentral's name for it is "bacterial SSU rRNA". It matches the Rfam family "Bacterial small subunit ribosomal RNA", at positions 355 to 796 of the family's 1533-position model. The record is from RNAcentral.